Molecule: small RNA, 28 nt
Filed under: Bombyx mori (domestic silkworm)
Lineage: Eukaryota; Metazoa; Arthropoda; Insecta; Lepidoptera; Bombycidae
Description: ovarian small RNA-5045
Source: RNAcentral
GACAGAAUGGAAUUGAACAGUCGUGUCA